This 253-nucleotide ribosomal RNA is filed under the name uncultured bacterium. Its description in RNAcentral is "partial 16S ribosomal RNA". It matches the Rfam family "Bacterial small subunit ribosomal RNA", at positions 524 to 776 of the family's 1533-position model. The record is from RNAcentral.
UACAGGGGGUGCAAGCGUUGUUCGGAAUUAUUGGGCGUAAAGCGCGUGUAGGCGGACCACUAAGUCUGGUGUGAAAUCCCUCGGCUCAACUGAGGACGUGCAUUGGAUACUGGUGGUCUUGAGUCCUGGAGAGGGUAGCGGAAUUCCCAGUGUAGAGGUGAAAUUCGUAGAUAUUGGGAGGAACACCGGUGGCGAAGGCGGCUACCUGGACAGUGACUGACGCUGAGACGCGAAAGCAUGGGGAGCGAACAGG